This 827-nucleotide ribosomal RNA is filed under the name uncultured bacterium. Its description in RNAcentral is "bacterial SSU rRNA". It matches the Rfam family "Bacterial small subunit ribosomal RNA", at positions 60 to 882 of the family's 1533-position model. The record is from RNAcentral.
AGUCGAGGGGCAGCACAUGAGUAGUAAUACAAUGGUGGCGACCGGCGCACGGGUGAGUAACACGUAUGCAACCUACCCUUAACUGCGGAAUAACUCGUCGAAAGGCGGACUAAUACCGCAUAACAACAUUUAGCUGCAUGGCUUAAUGUUUAAAGAUUUAUUGGUUAUGGAUGGGCAUGCGUUUCAUUAGAUAGUUGGUAAGGUAACGGCUUACCAAGUCUACGAUGAAUAGGGGUUCUGAGAGGAAGGUCCCCCACACUGGUACUGAGACACGGACCAGACUCCUACGGGAGGCAGCAGUGAGGAAUAUUGGUCAAUGGGCGAGAGCCUGAACCAGCCAAAUCGCGUGAAGGAUGAAGGUAUUAUGUAUUGUAAACUUCUUUUGUCAGGGAAUAAAGUGCGGGACGUGUCCCGUUUUGUAAGUACCUGAAGAAUAAGGAUCGGCUAACUCCGUGCCAGCAGCCGCGGUAAUACGGAGGAUCCAAGCGUUAUCCGGAUUUAUUGGGUUUAAAGGGUGCGUAGGCGGGUGUAUAAGUCAGUGGUGAAAGUUUUCGGCUCAACCGAAGAAUUGCCAUUGAAACUGUAUACCUUGAGUGUAGAUGAGGUGGGCGGAAUUCGUAGUGUAGCGGUGAAAUGCUUAGAUAUUACGAAGAACUCCAAUUGCGAAGGCAGCUCACUGGGCUACAACUGACGCUGAGGCACGAAGGUGCGGGGAUCAAACAGGAUUAGAUACCCUGGUAGUCCGCACAGUAAACGAUGAAUACUAACUGUUUGCGAUACACAGUAAGCGGUACAGCGAAAGCGUUAAGUAUUCCACCUGGGGAGUA